RNAcentral lists this ribosomal RNA (460 nucleotides) under uncultured bacterium. RNAcentral describes it as "partial 16S ribosomal RNA". It matches the Rfam family "Bacterial small subunit ribosomal RNA", at positions 338 to 795 of the family's 1533-position model. The record is from RNAcentral.
CCUACGGGAGGCAGCAGUGAGGAAUAUUGGUCAAUGGACGAGAGUCUGAACCAGCCAAGUAGCGUGAAGGAUGACUGCCCUAUGGGUUGUAAACUUCUUUUAUAAAGGAAUAAAACGAGGCACGUGUGCCUUUUUGCAUGUACUUUAUGAAUAAGGAUCGGGUAACUCCGUGCCAGCAGCCGCGGUAAUACGGAGGAUCCGAGCGUUAUCCGGAUUUAUUGGGUUUAAAGGGAGCGUAGAUGGGUUGUUAAGUCAGUUGUGAAAGUUUGCGGCUCAACCGUAAAAUUGCAAUUGAUACUGGCAGUCGUGAGUACAGUUGAGGUAGGCGGAAUUCGUGGUGUAGCGGUGAAAUGCUUAGAUAUCACGAAGAACCCCGAUUGCGAAGGCAGCUUACUAAACUGUGACUGACAUUGAUGCUCGAAAGUGUGGGUAUCAAACAGGAUUAGAUACCCCUGUAGUC